UUCAAGGCCAGCCUGAGAAAUACAGCAAGACCCUGUCUUAGGUCCCAAUUUUCUCCUGCUGCUGUGGCCCGGACAUGGCGACUCCUGGCCCUGUGAUUCGUAGGUCCCCUUUGAACCAUCGAAGCCUCUAGUCAUUGAGGGGCUUAACCCCACUGUUUACAGGAAUCCAGAGAGUUUCAAGGAAAAGUUCCUUCACAAGACCCGCGAGAACCCGGUGGUACCCAUAGGUUGCUUGGCCACGGUGGCCGCCCUCACCUAUGGCCUCUACUCCUUCCACCGGGGCAACAGCCAGCGCUCUCAGCUCAUGAUGUGCACCCGGAUCGCUGCCCAGGGUUUCACAGUCACAGCCAUCUUGCUGCGUCUAGCUGUCACCGCUAUGAAGUCUCAACCCUGAGCCCAGGGUCUGGCCUUGAAGGCUCUGCAGAAACGAUUCCAAAUCCCAGGAGCAACCACUGGCCCUACCAUGGGACUUAAUCCCUCCUCUCCUUUGAGAGGCCCAUGUGUCGUUGGGGGAGGAAGUGACCCUUUGUGUAACCGUAACUGAAAGUUUUUUCAAAAAUCCUAGAUUCUGUUGUUUGAAUGUUACAUACUUCUAUUUGUGCCACAUCUGCCCUCCACUCCCCUGCUUAAUAAACUCUAAAAAUCCAAAAAAAAAAAAAAAAAAAAAAAAAAAAAA
This is an RNA transcript of Nomascus leucogenys (northern white-cheeked gibbon), 676 nucleotides long. It is a transcript of the gene named HIG1 domain family member 2A, mitochondrial pseudogene, with no coding region annotated. The record is from RefSeq and is a predicted model, not a curated record. Lineage: Eukaryota; Metazoa; Chordata; Mammalia; Primates; Hylobatidae. The transcript has a single exon.